This 2655-nucleotide long non-coding RNA is filed under the name Malus domestica (apple). RNAcentral describes it as "long non-coding RNA (MDOM_LNC002386)". Lineage: Eukaryota; Viridiplantae; Streptophyta; Magnoliopsida; Rosales; Rosaceae. The record is from RNAcentral.
AAAAAUAAGAAGCACCCAUUCACUAAACCACCCCUUCAAAUCAACACACAGUCAGCAUGCAGAGAAAGAUCGCUUUGGACAUAAAGCUUAACAUUUUACCUGCAAGCCCGCUGUUUGAGAUAAACAACACCAAAUCAUUGUAUCCCCUUAGAAACUUAACAGGAUGCUCCACCUUGACCCAAUGACCGAAGACACUGCUGUAAAAAAAAAUAGGUUAUAGAGAAGACAAUAACACGUAUAUUAGAGAAAACAAUAGAAUAGGUUAUAGAGAAUAUGUUGGAAAAUAGGUACUGGUUGUAUACUGAAAUCAAUCAUUAGAACCCCUCUGGCUCUAAAACAUUGAAGAAGAAAUAUCUGAAGAAGAAAUAUCUGCACUAGUUUGGAAGCCUGAAACUCCACGCAGAAAGUAGAUUAACGUGGGUCAACUACAUCUUCAUGGUCAGUCUAAUUUCUAGUAUUACGGGUAUUAGAUUAUUGAAGUGCAAUAUACACCAAUAACCAUGUAUUAGUAACAUAGGAAAAAUAUGGAAAUAAUUUCAGGAAUACACAAUACAGGGGCGUUACAAAGCCUAAAAAAAGUUCGUAACUUCGAAUUAUCUUAUCAUACAAUUUGGUGGAGCAAAAACAAAAACUACCAACAUCAAUAUGCAGUGUUUGUCAUAAAACGACAAUUUCAUAUCCAUUACCAUUAUCCUCUAAUGCUCUGAGCAAUCUUAACGUUGGCCUGCAAAUUAUCCGGCCCUUCACCUGUGGAGGUAUUAUAUGCUUAUUUUGUCAACCAAAUGGAGAUCAUUAAACCUGAGUAAAUUUCCACUUAAUUAAGUUCUAAACACUAUAGUAAAAUCUAAAGUUAAAAAGAGCAGUUCAAUUUGACUAAAAAUACAUAAAGGAAGAGAGAAAGAACAAAGAGUUGUAGAAAGCUGUAAAAUGAUACUAAACCUGCAAGUUGAAUCAGAAAAAUAUUCAAACAAAUCUAAAAGCCAAAUUAUUCACAGGAUCAGUCUCAAAUUAAUAAAGAACUUGGGAAAUGCUAAGGAUGUCCAGCAGUUUACAUCUUCUCUAAAAAUACUACAGAUGGGUUCCUCCACUGACACUAUAAAAACAAGAGGUAUUCAUCAAUUCCCCCCCUGAACUUGUGACCAUUGGCCAAUUUCCCCAUUCAACUCUCAUAAUUAGUCAAUUUCCCCCCUCAACUCUCAUAAUUAGUCAAUUUCCCCCCUCAACUUUAAUUUGGCCAAUUUCCCCCCUCAACUCUCAUAAUUAGUCAAUUUGCACCCUACUGUUAAUUUUUUUUAAUUUUCCAUCUAUUCUUUUUUUCUUUCUUUCAAUCUUUCUAAUAACUUCCAACAAAGUACUAAAAUUAACAUAAACUCACCUGCAUAAUAUAAGGUAAAAUGUACAAAAACAUAAUACAAUUAGUAUGUGAUAUGGGUUGAUUAUAAGAAAAAGUUAUGAAUCAGGUUUAAAGCAUGUAGAAGAAGAAAUAAUAAUCCUAAACUCAUGGAUCAGACCUAUUUCAAUAAAAUGGGUUAUUCUUACUAAGGAGUCGAAAAUUAUGAAUUGACUAGCCAUUUUUGCACUAAAGCUCGAUUCUCCGCAAUUUACUUGAACUUAGCUUUCACUUUUAUAAAGAAAAUUGUAUUCACAUACAAAAAUGUACACAUCAAUCCUUUUCGUUAUCAAUAAUACUAUCUAUGAUAAAUUGUAAAAUUCUAAAUUGUUAAAAAAUUAACAGUAGGGUGCAAAUUGACUAAUUAUGAGAGUUGAGGGGGGAAAUUGGCCAAAUUAAAGUUGAGGGGGGGAAUUGACUAAUUAUGAGAGUUGAGGGGGGAAAUUGGCCAAAAUUAAAGUUGAGGGGGGAAAUUGGCCAAUAGUCACAAGUUCAGGGGGGAAAUUGAUGAAUACCUCUAAAAACAAAUUUAAAAUUACAAUUAAACUUAAUAUUUUCUCUUUUCCUCUCCCUCUUCGUGUUCCCUCUGUCCGAUGAAAACCAGAAGCGCAAAGCUUCCUAAAAUUCUAGCCAUUUUACUCAUCACUUCCCAAAAACUACAUAUACGUUUUAAUCCGACAACUAUGAAUACAUAUUCAAACUGGGAAAAAGUAGGACAGAAAACAUACCCAAAAAGUAACCGUGGCGUUCUAGCUUCUGCCAAAUCUCAGAUUUAUCAACUGAGGAGGCAAAACGCUAAAUCCCUUUUUAGCUGGGAAAGCCCUGACAAAGCACCACAACUCACCGCAAAACCAAAAUUAACAAAAAUCCAAAAUUAAAACUCAAAUACAGUACCUGAGUUGAAUAGAACUCAUUUCACUAUGAUCUGAAGACAGGCCGCGCCCAAACUGGGCUGGAAAUUCGUCGGAAAUUCGGCAACAACUUCGGAAUCCAAGACGGCAAAAGAGACAAAAUCUGUGAAGUCUUGGCCCGGCGAUUGCAAGUUUAGGAACCCUAGAAACCAAUUUUAUGUGUUUCGACAAAACGCCCACAACUGUAGGAUUGCAGGGAUGCAUAACUCCCCUCAAAUGCAGAGACGCAAAGAAAAUCCCUUAAAACACGAAAUUCAGGAACUUUCUCCUGAAUAUUUUGUGAAAUAAAGAACGGAAUAUUUGAGAGGAAUGGAGGAUUUGAGAAAAUCCCUUAAAACAUGUUUUUAACUACUA